This 21-nucleotide microRNA is filed under the name Arabidopsis thaliana (thale cress). RNAcentral describes it as "ath-miR780.1". Its record names the gene ath-miR780.1. Lineage: Eukaryota; Viridiplantae; Streptophyta; Magnoliopsida; Brassicales; Brassicaceae. The record is from miRBase by way of RNAcentral.
UCUAGCAGCUGUUGAGCAGGU